ACUGACAUAACAAUGAGCUAUAAUUUUAUACCCAGUUGACUGCAAAGGUUUCAAAAGCUGAACUACACUCUGUGUGAGCUGGAUAUGGACCUAGGUCCUGCUGGCGAGAGUAAGGACCAACACAGUGAUUGGAAAGCACAAUCUGUACUACUCAAGCAAAGUACGAACACCCAUGUCCUAUGAGCUGGCAAGAUUGAGAGGAGGGUAAGGAAAUGGGAGUAGAGAAAACAACAAAGAUUCUGGCUUAAUUGACUGGGUAGAUUCAGGUGACAUUACCCAAGGUACAGAAUGAAGAAGGAGGAAGAGCUGGUCUGGGGGUAAAGAUGAUGUUUUCCAAUUUGGAUCUGUUAAGAAUUAUGAACUCAGGGGAUGCCUGAGGAGAAUAGUAGACACUCCAUCGAUAUUAUCUUCUCUCCAAUCAGGCCUCACAGCCAAGAGAAGUUUCCAGGCCUCUCUCUGCCACGAUCCCUUCUCUGAUUCGCCUCCAGUGAUGCCCUCUCUACUCUGCCCAUUCGUCGUCCAUCAGCACCCUUCCUUUCCCACCCCAAGGUGCUGAGAACCUCCAGGUGAACUGUGAGCCACUGACAAUAAGAAUUACUUCUUUGGAAGUCCAGAAUAUUGGGAUCAGAGGUUCUGUAGAUGGGUGCAGUGAAGGAGUCUCAAUGCCUCCAGGAGGAGGAAGAUGGCAGAGGGCUGGAAGACCAAACGUCAGGGAGUCUGCUCCUCCGACGAUACUACCCAGUACGCAGCGGCCCAGAAAGAAGAAAGAAAGAAAUCCAGAAAUAAGAAAAUGAUUCUUAGAGAAUGCUUUUUUUGUUUCCCUGGACGUCUUCAAAUCAUUUAUUUUUCCACUUCGUUUUUUGGCUGUUCCACGUGGACUGCCUGGAACUUCACUUCCGCUAUACCUCUGGAAGUUUGGGGAUCUGAGACCCGGCGAUGUGUUCCCUUUAACAACGCAUCUUACUGGAAGAGUGUUCAGACACUUCCCGGAGUAUGGAGUGAGCGUCAGGAACACGCUGGGGUUCAAGUUCACGUUUCCUGAGGGCCUCGUGUGUGGCAGCCACCAUGCUUAGCAGCUUUCCCAGGUUGAUUUAUCUGAUACUUUGAAGAGUCUAGAGGGAGAACAGAACGGAGGUAAUGUGGGAUGCAAAGGUUGACAGCCACCUCCCGGGAGACCGUCGGACCUGGAAAUCAGGGCCCUGGGUUUCAACCGGAAAUGUUUACACUGGCACAGACCCAAGAUGGAUGGAGGGCCACGUCACGGAGAGCUGAGUGAGCACAUGCACACAUUUUAAGGGACCGGGGUCUUCACAGCUGACCGGCUGGUCACUCUCACCGCUGCACUGAGCAGCCUGGAGGCUAGCGGUCAUCACUUACAUGUGCUCUGCUACUUACACUUGGAUUUAUAACCACACUUUCCCACGACCGCAUUUUCUUUCUUGGCAGAAGAUUAAGGGCAGCAAUAAUAAACACGUAAUAAUAGUGA
Felis catus (domestic cat) is the source of this 1486-nucleotide long non-coding RNA. RefSeq lists it as uncharacterized. The transcript is spliced from 5 exons. The record is from RefSeq and is a predicted model, not a curated record. NCBI's taxonomy places the organism in Eukaryota, Metazoa, Chordata, Mammalia, Carnivora, Felidae.